UGGGAUUUAGCUCAGCGGCAUAAGCGCCUGCCUUGCAAGCAGGUAGUCGUGAGUUCAAUCCCCAGUACCAA
RNAcentral lists this transfer RNA (71 nucleotides) under Cavia porcellus (domestic guinea pig). It matches the Rfam family "tRNA". From Rfam's summary of the family: Transfer RNA (tRNA) molecules are approximately 80 nucleotides in length. Their secondary structure includes four short double-helical elements and three loops (D, anti-codon, and T loops). The record is from Rfam by way of RNAcentral. Lineage: Eukaryota; Metazoa; Chordata; Mammalia; Rodentia; Caviidae.